CCUCCUUCCCUCCUUCCCUCCUUCCCUCCUUCCCUCCUUCCCUCCUUCCCUCCUUCCUUCCUUCCUUCCUUCCUUCCUUCCUUCCUUCCUUCCUUCCUUCUCUCUCUCUUUCUUUCUUUCUUUCUUUUUGUUGGAGUUUGACUGCUGUUGCCAGUCAAUCUUGGCUCACUGCAAUCUCCACUUCCCAGGUUCAAGCGAUUCUCCUGCCUCAGCCUCCUGAGUAUCUGGCAUUACAGGCAUGUGCCACCAUGCCUGGCUAAUUUUGUAUUUUUAGUAGAGACAGGGAUUAUCCAUGUUGGUCAGGCUGGUCUUGAACUCCAGACCUCAGGUGAUCUGCCUGCCUCGGCCUCCCAAAGUGCUGGGAUUACAGGCAUGAGCCGCUGCACCUGGCCGAUGUCUAGGAUUUCUUAUAUCUCUCGCACAAUGAUCCUAUGAAGUCAACAUCUUCGGGUGCUGAGUGUAAAGCACUUCACUGCAUGUGGCGGUGAAAAGAGCACUGAAUGUGGAGUCAGAAGACACGGAUCUAAAUCCUGAACUAUUGAUCAUGAAUUCAGGCAACUUUCUUGACUUCUCAGAGGCCCAGUUUUUCUCCUACUAAAGGGAAAAAAUAAUGUCUGCCCACAAGUUUCUGCUGAGGAUUGGAUGAGGGCAUCAUAGUGCAGUACCUCAAACAUGUAGGUGUUUCUAGUGUGACCUUAAGUUGAGAAACCCAAGGCUACAGUCUAAUCCCAAGUCUGGGGGGAGCCAGGGAAAUGUGACCUGCAGGACCAGCCCCACUUAGUGGAUACUGAACGGAUCUCCCAAUGCCCAACAGCCAUGUUGUACAUUCCCCGGCCCCAGAAGCAGGUGUCAAUUGGAUUUCGAGAGGUGUGAGGCCCGCUGCAUACUGCGUGUCUGCUCUGGAGGUCUGCUUAGGGGUCUGCUUUAUAUUUCAGGAUUUUCAUUUUUUAUACCAGCUCAUUUACAGAUGUUUGAUCAGGUGUGAAUUUCUACCAAGAAGAUUGUAAAAAGCAAAUUUAACAAGUGAGUCUGAAAUGCCAUAGGAAGGGUCAGACUUUACACAAAUGACGUACUGGACUUUAAAAACCAACAAAGUUGCCCUUUCUUCUUCAUUUCCUUGAGACGCUUCUGGAAGGAAAGUUCAGGAGUUCACCUUGCCUGCGUCGCUGCUAACCAGGCAGUUAUACCAACCUGCCUCUGCUCAUGCUGUCCCCUUCUCUUGAAACAUCCUUCCCCUCCUCUUACCUGGCCGAACACCACUUUUCCAUUAAGGCCUAGCUAAAAAGCAUCUCUUUUUUUGAGCCCUGAUACCUCAGGGUCUAGAGAGAAGAAAUCCCUCUUUUACUGGCGUAAUGCCUGUCUCAUAUCUUUACUAUAGUAACAUCGGGCAUUUAUUGAGAGCUUACUGUGUUCCAAGCACUGUCCUAACUGCUUUACAUAGAUUCAUUCAUUUUAUAUUCAUAAAAACUCUCAGAUAGGAACUACAGUCCUCAUUUUGCAGAUGAAAAUUGAGACACAGAAAGGUAUAGCUUGUCCAAGGUCACAUGGCUAAGAAACAGCGAAUCAGGAUUUGAACCCAGGUUCUUGAGCAAUCACAGUACACACAUGGUAACUAAUAAUGUGUGCAUCAGUUUCCCCUACUAGGUUAUAAGGACGUUUCUGUCAGGGCUCUGUCUUACUCCUCUGAGCAUAGGCAGCUUUUAUCCUGAAUAAAUGAAUGAAUGAAUGAAUAGCACAUGCUAGCACAUGGUAACAAAUUCAAACUACAGAAAAUGCUAAAAAUAGAGUAUCUAUGCCCCCAGUUCAAGUUUCCAUCUGCAUAACAAACACUGCUUUUUGUGAUUUCUUUGAGACAUUUUAAUGUACACACCAGCAUAUAUGUAUUUUCCUUUAAAAAUGUAUCCGAACAGGAUCACACUGAAGUACAUUCUGCUCCUUGCUAACACAUACAGGUAUAAAGAUAAUUUUUAACUUAUGACAAAAUGAAAACCCAAUGAAGGGAUGAUGUAUGAUGUUUUGGUUAACUAUAGUACUUGAAAAUUCCUUUGAUUUUUGUGUCCAUAAAAAUAGUUGUUCUGACCACGUGGUUUUAACCUCAGAUCCUUUGGUGAUGAGGAACAGAAAUUAGGAAAGAGAACUAAUUAGCUGUCUUAACCAAUGUGCUUGUCCACAAUGCUCAGAAUCACUAAAGGAUUCUUCCUGUAAUUUCUGUUAUUCUGUCUUUACAAAAAAAUAUAUACUGGAGGUUUUUUUUGAAAUAAAAGGGGGACAGCAGAGAGCUUUGACCAGAGUGCAAAGGCUCUGGAAUCCCUCGGGCGGCAGUCAUGGUAGCCUGGGUGGUGGCUUUCAUGACUUAAAAAAAAUUGUAAAAUACACAGAACAUAAAAUACUAUUUUAACCAUUAAAUGUACAGUUCAGUGACGUUAAGCACAUUCACAUUGUUGGGCAGCCAUCACCACCAUCCAUCUCCAGAACUCUCUCCUUAUAAAACCUCAGCUCUAUACCUGUUAAAGACCAACUUCCUAUUCCCUGACCCCGGCCCCUGGGAAACACUAUUCUACUUUCUGUCUCUAUGAAUUUGACUACUGUAAAUGGAAUGGUACAGAAUGUAUCUUUUUGUGUCUGGCUUAUUUCACUGAACAUAAAGCCUUCAAGUUUCAUCCAUGUUGUAGCAUGGAUCAGAAUUUCCUUUCUUUUUAAGGCUGGAUGAUCUUCUAUUGUGUGUAAAUGCCACAUUUUGCUCAUCCAUUCAGCAAACCAUCAGUGGAUGCUUGGUUUGUUUCCACCUUUUGGCUACUCUGAGUAAUGCUGCUAUGAACACAUGUGUACAAAUAGCUCUUCAGAUCCUUGCUUUCAGUUCUCAUGGAUGUAUACUCAGAAGUAGAAUUGCUGGGUCAUAUAACUCUGAUGCAGGACAGAUGAACCCUCAAACUGAGACUUUGCCCAGGAAAGAAUCCAAGGGUAAGUCAGUGACAUUAGACAGCAAUUGUUAAUCGAAUGGUACUGCUCUUUGCAGAGAAGGGCUGACUCAUAGGCAGUGCGUCCAGAGUGCAAUGUACGGGCUAUUGGCAACUGUAUUUAUACUCCUUCAAACCCACUUUCAGUUACAUGCAAAUUAGGGGGUGAGUUAAUGGAAACUGAGGGGCAGGUUACUUAGCACUUUCUAGGAAGGGGGUGGUAACUUCUGGGUCAUUGCCAUGGCAUUUGUGAACUGUCAUGUGAUCAUGGGCUGGUGGGAUGUGUUAUGUUAAUGAGCAAUGGGGCCAGCUAGGAAUUGCUUUGGUCGCCAUCUGCUGGUUUUGGCUGGUUUCUUCACUUCCUCUGUCUGGGUCUGGGAAACAAGUCCUACUGGUCUCCUACCUCAAUUCCAUGUUCAAUUUCUUGAGGAACUUCCACACUGCUUGCUAUAGCAGCUGCACUAUUUUACAUUCCAAACAGCCGUGCAUAGGAGUUCCCAUUUUUCCACAUCCCGUUUUUCCACAAUGCUUGCUAUUUUCUUUGUCAGUGGCCAUCCUAAUGGGUAUAAGAUACUAUCUCAUUGUGGUUUGGGCUUAUAUUAUUUUUCACCCAAGACAAAUUAUUCUUCACCCUGGGUUUGAGUAGGAGUGUCCCUGAUUUAUUUGUGUUUUGAAGAGGAAUUUUUACAAAGGCAGAUUCCCUACUGAAUGGGAGGUCAGGGCAGCUUUGCCAGCCUACGCGUAGGCCUAAAUAUGGGAUACGACCUUUAAAAGGUACUGGCUGUACCACCUGGCUCAGCGGGUCCUCAAUGACCUCCCCAGGGCAUUCCUGGCUGUUAAAUCCUGCCCUGACUCAUGGGGUGGGGAGUGAGUUCUCUCUAACAUAAUACCAGGACAGCUUUGUGCCUCCUGUUAUGUAAAGGAAGAAUGUUGUUCCAAGUAUCAGGGCCAUGCGUGGACGGGCCUCCUGUUUCACCAAGCAGUGACAAAGACUCUGCACUGAGACACACACAGAAUCUUCUCUUUGGGCCCUGGAGAGAGGAUUCUUUGCACUGCUCCGUUUGUGCAGAACUUGAAAAUGCUUGUUGAUGGGAAGACUAAAUCGGUUUAGAUCUAUUUUCUGCAGUUGGGUGAAAUAGCUCAGGAUGUGAGGAUGGAGUAUGUAAUGCCUCUCGGUGAACAGAGGAAGAGAAACGUGCUGUCCCGUGCUGCUUUGUGCAGAUUUCUUCUUGUUCUGCCUUCAGCCAACAAGAAAAAUAAAUAGCUGAUUUACACAACAAAAAAAAAUGUUACUUUUUGGGUUUGUUUUGGUUUUAUUCACUAAAACAGCAAUUUCCUGCCAUGGAGAAUAAGAGAUUGUUAUUCUUAUUUGAGUCAGCAAAUUGAGCUCCCUGCUUAAAGAGGGAAGACAGGCUCAUUGCCACGGCUGACUGGGACCAGGAAUUUGAAAAGGACCUGGAGGGGCAUGUGUUACAAGCUCAGACUCUAUAUACCUCCAUCCCGCCUCACUGAUUACUACCUCCAAGCAAUGCUUGAAAAGAAACUUGAGAAGAACUUCCAGACCACUCCCAUCAUCUUCCCUUCCCUUUGUAUGGAGGGGAAUGGGAAACUUUGUUGAGAAAGUCCCCAGUAGAACGAUUUCCCUGUUGACAGUUCCUAAUGCAGUAAGGAGAACCUAAGAACUUAACCCAAGCGAAGCCCUCACCUGCUGAGAAAUGGGGAAGAACUAAAAACACUAAAUAAAUCAAUAAGCAGCACAGUCAGCCAAACAAGCAUCUUGCUUUUUUCUGUAAUCUGUCAUAAAGACAUUUUGCUAUAUCAUAAUCACAUCAGAAGACAAAUUCCAAGGGCAGAGAUAUUUGGAAAAGCACCCAAGAAGGAGUUUCUUGCAACCAUACAAAGCUUCUGAGCGUGCUUCUCUGCCUCGCAUUCUUCUAGCUUCUGUGACAUCCUAGAAUUUUAAAGCUGAGGGGACAUUAAAGUGACAGAUAUGAUAUUUAGUUGGAUUGGCUACUUAGUUGCCAUUAGAAAUAUUGUAAAGGACCUUAAUAGUAAAAUGCAAAGACAUUAUUUAGCACCUGGUUGGAUGUUGGGCUAGGUGAUAAACUAAGAAAUUUUUUUUUUGUUUUGAGAUGGAGUUUUGCUCUUGUUGCCCAGGCUGGAGUGCAAUGGCGCAAUCUCAGCUCACUGUAACCUCGGCCUCCUGGGUUCAAGCGAUUCUCUUGCCUCAGCCUCCCUAGUAGCUGGGAUUACAGGGGCCCACCACCAUGCCCAGCUAAUUUUUUGUAUUUUUAGUAGAGAUGGGGUUUCACUGUGUUGGUUAGGCUGGUCCCAAACUCCUGACCUCAGGUGAUUCACCUGCCUCAGACUCCCAAAGUGCUGAGAUUACAGGCAUGAGCCACAGCGCCCGCCUGUACGAAUAAAUUUAAUCAGGCAUUUCAAAGGAAAGAGCUACGGCCUGCUCUUGCCUUCUGGCAAAAUUAGUUUCCAUAAUCAUAAUAAAGUAAAAUGUGGCAGCAACAAUACGUAACCUCAUUUCCCAUCAUCAAAAGUGUUCAUGAACUAUCUCUCUGUGCUAAUACGUUAAAGCAUGCUAAAGAAGUUAUGGCCAACGCAGAAAUAUGAAUAAUAGAUCUUAAAUAUAUACACUAAGCAAAUGAAUGUUUAUAGUACAUGCUCUGAUUUUAAGCAGGUCUACGAAGUUUCAGAAGGUGGCCAAAUAGUAAAUUACUUCAAAAACCAUACUGAGGACAGAGUUUCAGAUGCUGUUGGUGACACAAACAUUUGAAUUUCUACAAAGGUCUGAGAAGACUUAGCUUUUUUUCUAGUGGUACAGGACAACAGAUUGCCCUGCACAGACCUGGGACUUGUAGGUAUCACAGGAGUUUGGGAGCUGGACAUCAAAGUGUGAUGUUGAGGAGGAUGUAAUAGAGGCAUGCAAUGGCAGCCCUUGACAAAAAUUUAAAUACAGGUGGUUGAGAUGCUCAGUAAAUACAGCCUGGCAUCAGUUCCCCGCAUCCGACUUUCUAAUCAAUAAAACAGUCGAUCAGUGUCUGUCAUGAGCUGACACUGAGUUAGAUGCUAGAGAUACUGAGAUGCCUUGGUUGGGUCAGAAAUGCAAACAAAUCAUUCAACACAAAUCCACAAAGAUGCACGAUCAACAGAGGUGGAGAGAAGGUGGACUCCUCUUAGCAUAGAACAUAAGGGAGGGGAGUGUUUAAGAAAGAAUUCACAAAGGGAAACUUUCCUGAGUUGGGUCUUGAAUAAUAAGUAGGAAUUCCAUCAGUUUUCUGAAAGUAGAAAACUGGAACACGUGCAUCAGAAUCACUCCCAAAGCUCAUGAAAAAUGUUCUUGGGCUUCAACCCAGACCUACUGAUUAAUCAUUUCUGGGGAAGGAGCUUUGUAAAUUUCAGGGCCACUAUCCCAGGCCCUAAGGUAGGCAAAGGCAUUGCCGGUAAUAACUCACCUACCUUUCUUUACUGUUGUCUACUGCUCUGUCCUUGACUUUCAAAACACACUCUGAUUACCUACCUAAUAAUUAACUUGCAGGGAUAAUGUAAAUAUUUUUAAAAACUUCUUAUUUAAAUAUUGAAAAUUACAUAACCAGCAGCCUAUUGUGGCCAUGUGCCUUCAUAUGACACCCUUGUUCGCUGGUCUGUACACUAAUAACUGGGAGUCCACAGUUGCUCACAUAUCAGAGUGUACUGCAUUGGAGCAGGGUUCUGGGGGCCCCUUCCCUGCUAGAUAUUGACCCUGUAGUUACCGGUCCUAGGGCAGUCCUGAGGCUGAGAGGAGGCAAAGUCGGCAGGUGGGAGGAGCUCCUGGGAGUCUCAGAACAUCCCCUGUUUACCAGCCAGUAUGGAGGUAUUUCCAUGUUUGAAUAACUGGGACAGUACUGGCAUAUUUCCCCAAUGUCCACAAUCAAAUGAAGGACAAUGAGACAGGAACCCGAAGAGUUCAGCUAGGUAUUCACGUUCUUCAUAUAGGAGGGCUUAAACAUAUCUUAAGAGUAAAAGCACAGAUCAAUCAAGGGUGUUGGCAAGUAUGUGCUAGCUGUGUACUUAACGUUUUUUAUUAAUUUAUUUUUAACUGACAAAUGACAGUUGUAUAUAUUCGUGGGACACAGCAUGAAGUUUUGAUCUAUGUAUACUUUGUAGAAAGGGUCAAUCAAGCUAAUUAACACAACCACCACCUCACCAUCUUAACACUGUUAUGUGGUGAGGAUGUUAAAAAUCUAUUCUUUUAGCAUUUUUGAAAUACGUACAAUACAUUAUUAACAACCAUGGUCACCAAGGCAGGCAAUAGUUCACUAAAACUUAUCCUUCCAGUCUGAGACUUUGUACCCUUUAAUCAACAGCUCCUCUAUCCCCAUCCCUCCCCCACUCCACCCUUCAGCCUCUCAAUUUUGAUUUGUAAGAACGGUGCUAAAUACAAUGACUCUUACUGUCUCUAAAGUUGAUAGCCACUGUUAUCAUAGCCACGUUACAGCACUUGUAUUAAUCCUAACUGUAUUCUUUGCAUUAAUCCUGACUGCAUAAUUUGUAUUUUGGGGCCCAUCAGAAUACAUUCCUAGUUCUCUAGAGCUUGCUUUGCUUUGGAUUUCAUCCUCUCUGUGCGCCUAGAUGUUGCUUUUCUCUGAGGCCUGAGUUUGGACAAUCCGACAACCCCAGAGAUUAAUGGAGAGUUCCAGGCACAUGAUACCUAGUCAUGCAUGCUCUUCUCUGAGCCCCGGCGGGAGUCCUGAGCCACCUGAGCAGCUCAUGGAUGUUCCACACAGUGCUGGGUCUCCACUGACAGCUGCCCACAAGGCCAGCAGCAUGCAGUCCUUGCUGAGUUUAGUCUCUGACUCCCUCCCCACUCCUUACUGGCUUCCCUCUGAGUUACCCAAGUAUGAGAUUAGCUCUUCAGAGCCCUUGUGGAUGGAGGCAAGAUGUAAAUAGACACAUGAGGCCAGGACACAUAUUUUAUAAAAUGUUUCUUCACACCAAUUCAUGACAUAUAUUAACUAGGUCAACGCUUCUGAAAUUCUAAGGUGCAUGGGAACCACCUGGCGACUGGUUAAAGAGCAGAUUUUGAAUAGGUGGGUGAUGGGAAGGGGCUGAGGUUCUGCAUUUUUAGCAGGUUUCUAGGGGAUGUCCCCACUGCAGGUUCACCAGCCUACUUUGAAUAAACUGGACCAGGUGACUAAAUGCUGGGGGCAGUCAUAACUCAUUAGUUUUUUACUUAUGAAGUUUGUGUUAUAUACUACAAAUGGAUUCAUUCAAAGACAUUUUUUAAGAGCUUUGUAGUAUCUCCUUGCUUUUCAGAGGUAGCUUUUUUUUUUUUUUUUUUUUUUUUUUUUAAGAUGGAGUCUCGUUCUGUCGCCCAGGCUGGAGUGCAGUGGGGCGAUCUCGGCUCACUGCUACCUCAGAGGUAGCUUUUUAAAAGUCACUCUGCUUUGCACUGUGUGUGUUUCCUGUGGAAGGGAAGAUGCAGAAAGAUAAACCAUUAGGAGGUUAAGUGUUUUGCUCAGUGAGUCUCAGUGCAGAUCUCUAAAUAUUCCUGCAGUCCAGGGUACCACACCUUACCUCACCUUAGGAAACACCAGGCCCCUCUGAGCCUCCGCCAGCAUGCCCCACUGCAGGAAGCCAGUGGGCUGGGGGAGACUGGACUGAACUUAGGCUCUGAGUGGGAGACAGGAGAUGCAGUGAUAAAAAAUGAACUUAAAAUAAAAAUUAAAAAGCAUACCGAGAACACCAUGUGAAAUGAAGGCUCUUAAAACUGUCUGCGGCGGGAAGAAAUCAAAGAGUUUUAUUGGGUGAUGAAGAAACACUGUAAACUUCAUGUGAAAACAUUCCAAGAUUUGGACUUGUGUUAUAAAAGGGAAAUUUUACUGAGUAAGACUCAUUUUAAUGAAAUGAACAUGAGGAGCUGUGAUUCCAUUUGAAGUUGGUUGACGUACACAUGCACUCAUGCUCUCGAUUUCUUAGUAGCCUCACUGCACAGUUUUUGAAGUGUGCUAUUCUGGUGACGGAAUCCCAAGAAGGCAAAACAUGCCUCUUGAUGUAUAGUUUUUAGAUAUACUUUUACACAAAGUACUAUAAAUACUUCUAUGCCCUGAAAGGCGGUAUUUCUCCACCUCAGCCUGGGUCCUCCUCUCUUUCGCUUACCUCCAUUUUAAUGGAGGAAUUAAAUCACUUUCAAUUACUAAAUUUUGGCCAAGAAGCAAGGCAGAAAGCUUUCAGGCAGAGGACCAGAGGCAUGGUUGGGAAUGUUGGAUUUUUUAAUUUGCUUCCCUCCCAGGAUGGCCCGUAGAUCAUUUUCGGAGGGAGGUUUUAUGGUUGUCAGGGCCGUCUGCCUUGAACUCAUUUCCACACAUGUAUCCCUGGGUUGGGGAUAAGGAGGAGGCAGUGAUUUGAUAGAUAAUCCAUCCUGGAUAGGAUCAAAGACCUUUAUUUGUGCGGGGGAGGAACAGGGAUUCCAGUGUUGUUACAAUUACUCCAAACUGUGGCCGGAGGGAGCCCGGCUGGUAUGAAGGCCUCAGAACAAAGGCCAGAGUGACCGGAAGCAACAGAGGAAAUGGGUCCCCACCCUUUCAGUACUUUACAAUCCCUGGGGUGUGGGUGGAUUAAAAAACACCAGUGUCCUGGCCCCACUCAAGACCCAGUUUAUCAGAAUCUUCAGGGGAGGACCCAGGCAAUAAUAGCGUCCAACGACCCCAGAUGGUUGAGAGCCACAUAUUGGAGCUUAGAACACUUUGGGCAACAAAGGCAGGUGCAGUAGUGGAGCGGCAGGGUGAGCAAUGGGAGUUUGAGAGGGAAAGAAGGAGCGGCCUCAUGUCAGAGAGCUCAGAGCUUUCUCUUUGGAGAGGAUACAUAAGGUGGCAGUGGGAAGAAAAUAACAAUCUCCAACUCAUUAAAAGGUGUCAGCACAUCCAACUGGCAUAAGAUGGGGGGAAAUAACAUCUGUAUUAUCAAACUACUUACUGUGGCCACAUAGGUAGGUGAAGGUUCUUAAUUUGUUCAUUUUAACUGGCUCUUUUUAAAUUGAUGCAGACAGGCUAGAUAGAAGAAUGGAGGAGAGCAAAUAUUUGUAAUAAUUUGUAGCUGUGACCCACAGCCUGGACCCCAAUGGUGGGAGGUAGAUGUUGGGGGUUGGCCACCCCAUCUUACAGCUCUGUCCUUUACUGCCAGGCUCAAGCAUUGAGCUUUUCAAACCUCUUCAGCUCCAAACAUAUCACCCUUUCUACAACAAAAGGGUUAUCAGGAUAAGGAAACUUAGAAGUAUAUUUAUAAAGUUUUGAUGUCAAUAAGGAAUAGCCUAAUGGAGUAAAUUUCACUGGUCCUGGGCUCCACACAGUCUUUUCUUGCUAGCCAAGGCUGUUAAAUGUGGUAGCAGCGGGGCAUGAUGGCUCAUGCCUAUAAUCCCAGCACUUUGGGAGGCUGAGGUGGGUGGAUCACGAGGUCAGGAGUUCAAGACCAGCCUGGUCAAGAUGGUAAAACCCUGUCUCUACUAAAAAUACAAAAAAAGUUAGGCAGGCAUGGUGGUGGGCACCUGUAAUCCCAGCUACUCGGGAGGCUGAGGCAGAGAAUUGCUUGAACCUGAGAGGCAGAGGUUGCAGUGAGCCGAGAUCGCCCCACGGCACUCCAGCCUGGGUGACAGAGCGAGACUCCAUCUCAAAAAAAAAAAAAAAAAAAAGUGGCAGCAUGCUUUCUCUUAUGAUACAGCUUGAUACAUAUUAUAAUAAAAUAAAGUACAGUUUUCCAUGCAUCUUCAUUUGAUGGAUGAUCCAGUUAGGCUUUCCUGAAUUCACAUCUUUAAUUUCAGGCCCUUUCUUGGUCUGUGUCCUUGGAGGGUCCCAUUAACUUGGCUUCUAAAUAAAGCACUGUGCACAUAAUGUGGGGUACAUCAAAAGGCUUUAAUUUUCCUGGCAGGGUUAUUUUCUCAGGUGACUGAUUCUACCUAAUGUCAUCACCAGCCUGGGGAGGAACCACUUACUGAGUUCUGGGGACAGGCAAACACUUUCCCUUUCUGGAUUUGGUCCAUCAGAUCCUGUUCUGCCUUGCGCCAUGCCAGUCCCCACAGACCACAAAACAGGCUGUGCUUUGUGAGAAUUCCUUUUAUUACCCAGGACUUCAGAGUUUUUUCGCUGAAUGCAUGGAGAAAUUGAGUGUGUGCUGAUGAUGAAGGGAAAUUGAUUUACUUUACAAACAAUCUCUAAAAGUAUCUUCUGUCCUCAGGCAAGAAAAUGGUUUAAUAUUUCUUCUGAAAAUUCCUCUCUUUGUAUUCUUAUAGGAUUUAUUUGUUUUUUUUUCUCUCCCCCAUUAGGAACCUAAUCAAAAUUUAGUAAAGUUAUUACAAAUUGUUAUAAUUUGCUUAGAUAUUUCCAGGACUUAGGUUAAGAUGGGUAAAAAUUGUUCAUCUUGGCAUCUCCAUAAGCAGUAAUAUGAAAAGUUGUUAUUCAGGGUACAUGACCUAGCAUCCUCUACUAGCAAGAAAAGACUGUGGAACUCGUGACCCAUCACAUUUAUUUCAUUAGGCCAUUCCUUUUUGACAUUGAGCUUUUAAAAUUUAAAUAUACUUCCAAAUUUUCUUAUUCUGAUAACCCCCUUGUAGGAAGGCUAUGUGGGUGAUAUGUUCAGAGCUGAGGAGGUUUGAAAAGAUCAACGCUUGAGCCUGACGGUAGAGGACAGAGCUGUAGGACAGGGUGGCCGAGCCUAACACCUACCUGCCACCAUCAGGGUCCAGGGUGUGGGUCAUAGCUACAAAUUAUUACAAAUAUUUGCUCUCCACCAUUCUUUUUUUCUGGCCUUUUUUUCUGCACAAAUUUUGAAAGGAACCAGGCAUGCCCUAUAUAUUAUAUUAUGAACACAAUUUUCUGUAGCAACUGUAAUCCCAAAAUGCAUCACCGUUGAUAUUGCUAGCCAUCAGUUCUGUAAAUUCAGGGCCGUGGAUAUGAGCCCCUGUGGCAGGGAUGCAUCCGAGAUGGCCCCCAGGGCAGCCUGGCUUUUCAGUGGUGCAGCUUGAUGAGAGAGUGUUCUCACAGUGAGAAUGCCAUUCUAAAAAAAUGUGUUUUUGUCAUCAUACAUUGCUUUAUCAAGCACUUUUAGAACCUGUGUCUGGUGCUGGGGAAACAAAGAAGAGAAGGGACCGUAUGCCAGUGGGCAGACAGCUGCAUCGAGAACGCUGCAGUAACAUGGAAAAUGAUGGUGGUAUUGUUGAGGUCCACAAGAGACAGCCCUUAUCUUAGGCUGUAUGUCCUUUUAAGGUCAAAUCUAUUUUACAAUUGAUUUUUAAAUUGAUUUUUAUUGAAAGGGAAUGAAAGAAGGACUAGAUUAUGUUGUUCAAUUGAAUUAAUUUCCCUUUCGGUUAUUCCACCACUUUCAGGAAAAGUAGAGUUUUGGUGUAGUCCUGGGACAGGUCUGUAGGGUAGGGCGAGAGCGCACUCAUGCCCAGAUAGCCAGCCCACACCUGUGGACCAAUGCUGACCUCCUGUUCGCAUCUGGAUUCUAUGGCAGUAAAUGGGAUGAUUGACAGAGAAAAGAGGAUAAAGUGCUUGCUUAAAAAUUGUUUAAAUAAUCAAAACUAGCAUGUGAGCAAUGAAUACGGAACUCCUAAAAGCAGUACUUUGCAGAAGGAGAAAAAGAGUUUGCAGGAAUUGAGCUAAGAGUUCUAAUAAUGUUCUUGGCCUCAAACCUGCUAAUUAGAAUGGUUCUUCUCCAAAACGCACUUCAGAAAAUCAGAGUGUGAAGCAUGAUGUUAUCUAGACUUGUCUCAAAAUUAUUUUGAUUUUGCACUGCCACUGGUAAAAGAUUUUAAAGGACAUCCCAAUAUAUUUAUUUAUAAAUUGUAUAUAUUGAUGACCACUACAUGCACUUUUAUUAUUUUAUUUUAUUUUGAGACAGAGUCUCGCUUUGUUGCCCAGGCAACAAAGAUUGUGUACAGUGGCACAAUCUUGACUCACUGCAACCUCUGCCUCCCAGCUUCAAGUGAUUCUCCUGCUUCAGCCUCCUGAGUAGCUGGGACUACAGAUAUGUGCCACCGUGCCCGGCUAAUUUUUGUAUUUUUAGUAGAGCUGGGGUUUCAUCAUUUUGGCCAGACUGGUCUCAAACUCCUGACCUUGUGAUCUGCCCACCUCACCCUCCCAAGUGUUGGGAUUACAGGCGUGAGCCACCAUGCCUGGCUGCACUUUUAUUUUUAGAAAUAACAUUUAAUACAUCAGAUACUUUUAUAUGUGUCCAAUUGUAGCAAUAUAUUUUUAAAAACAUAUGUAAAAUAUAAGUGUUAAAAGAAUGGUGUCUUAGCUUGGGCUGCUCUAGCAAAUUAUUCUGGACUGGGUGGUUUAAACAGCAAACAUUUAAAUCUCACAGUUCUGGGGAUGGAGAAGUCCCAAAUCAGGCUGUUGGCAGAUCCAGGGACUGUCAAGGGCCGAGUUACUAGUGUGCAGUGGCCCUCCCAUCAUAAAAAGUGAGCAAACUAAAGGCACUAAUCCCAUUCAUGAGGGCUCCCCAGUCAUGACCUAGUCACCUCCAAAGGCAUGAGGAUCAGGAUUUUAAUUUAUAAAUUUGUGUGUGUAUAUGGUGGUGGGGGGGAACAAACAUUCAAUCCAUAAGAAAUGGAAUAAAUUGAAAUGAGUUCUAGCAUUUUUUGACAACAUCCGAAGAACUACUGUGGACACUCUCCAGGUACGCAUGCCCCACUUAGGAUACCAGUCUAUGAAGCCAGACAGAGUGGAGAGAGCUGAGUUGUGUUUCGAAUACUUGGGCAACUGGACCAUGUAGCUUUUCUUCCCUGUGUCAUCCUACACCCACAGAUAAACUAUUAUAAAAUGAAUUGGUAAAUAGUUCCAAAGGAAUCUUAUGCAAAUAUAGAAAUAUUUUUAAGUGAAUUUGCAUGAAAGAGGCCCUUAGGUUCAUCCCAGCCAUUGAUGUGAAUUCAACAGAGGAACAUAGUCACUGAUGUGGUUUUCAUCCCAUUAACUGGGGAUGGUCGGGAUUGGGUCAGAAACUUCAUGCUCCAGAGCACUGGUGCUAUCCUCUUUAAUCUGUAGACGAAAUGUUUUAUUUUUGGACAACAAACAAGAUGUAUCUACAGACUUGUGUUUCCUAUUUUAGCAACUUCUAGGCAUAAUGUAGAAAUACAAAGUAAAAACGUUUCAUAUUGAGGUUCACGAGGUUGCUGUCCUGGAAGGAACAGGCAAAAUACAACUUCUGUUUGUUGGAAACUCUUCAAUUCCAAGUUCCUCUAGAUGUCACUAUUACAUAGGGAAAUGAAAAUAUAACAGCCUUUGGCAAUGAAUAAAGACCUUCUUAGAUUAUUUAAAUGAAAAAACAUAUGUGACAUAUAAUUACUGAAGAAAAAAGCAGACUCACUUGGAAGCUGGCUUCUUAUAUUCCUCAAUACCAACAGCUUCUUCUGUUGGUCAAGUCCGACUCUAUAUCCAAAGAAUAUUUUCCCAGCGUGUGGACUUUUCCACUUGACACUCAGACGGCCUCAGAGGCAAAAGUGGAUCCAUCAGUGCUCUACAGAUUUUUACAGCCAGCUCUUCAAUUUUAUAUACUUUGAUGGGCUGAAAUUGACUGAUACAUAGCAGUUUUCAUUAUUAAAUCCACAUGUGCUUAUAUCAUUGCAUUCAUGCCACACAGAAUAAAUCCAGAAGCACAAUGUCUAUUGCUACACCAGGAGUUUUCAUUUCAAAAGGGAAGAACUGAAAGAUGGUUAUAAAACAUUUUAAACACAAUUUGUUAAACUUAUUUAACUAAUUUGGAUAUAUGUUUUCAAAAUUGAACUUAAAUUCUCUUCUUUUUUCUUUUUUGCCUCUCUUCCAUGUUAAUUGUAAUCUUUUGACCAAUAAAUAUUUAUCUCUUCACUCUGCUAAUUUGUUUUUGAUUUAUGACCUUCUCUCUGGGGGCUGAGAGGUCCCAAAUCAGGCUGCUGGCAGAUCCAGGGGCUGGCAAGGGCCAACUAUGUAGUUGAUCUCAAUAAAUACAAAUCAUGUAACUUGGCUAUAAUCCUUCUAUCUUUUUUUGUUGUUCAGAAAGGCAGUACAGUGUGGUAAUUAGGUGCACAGACUGAAGUAGACAGCUGGGUUAGAAUCCUAGCUCUAUCAUUUAUAAACUUUAUAACCUUGGGAAAUUACCUAAUUUCAUUUAUAAGAUGGGGCUAAUAGUAUCUAUCUUAAAGGGCUAUUAGGAGCAACCAGGUAAAUGAAGUGCUUAGAAGAGUGACUGGUACAUAGUGUGUGCUCAAUAUGCGAUUGCCAUCACCACUACCACCAUCAUCACCAUGACCACCACCAUCACCAUGACCACCACCAUCACCACUACCACCAUCAUCACCAUGACCACCACCAUCACCAUGACCACCACCAUCACCACUACCACCAUCAUCACCAUGACCACCACCAUCACCAUGACCACCACCAUCACCACUACCACCAUCAUCACCAUGACCACCACCAUCACCACUACAACCACUACCACCAUGACCACCACCAUCACCACUACAACCACCACCACCACCACAAUCACCACUACAACCACAAUCACCACUCCCACUACCACCAUCACUAGCACUACCACUACCACCAUCACCACCACCACCAGCACUACUACUACCAUCACCAUCAUGACCACCACCACUGCCACUACCACCAUCACCAUGACCACCACCAUCACCACUACAACCACCACCACCAUUACCACCAUCUCCACUCCCACUGCCACCAUCACCACCACCACCAGCACUACCACUACCACCAUCAUUACUACCACCACCAUCACUUCCACUACCACCAUCACCAGCACUACCACUGCCCCCCAUUGUAACUACCACCAUCAUUACCACUAUCAGCAUGAUUACUACCACUACCACCACCAGCAUGAUCCCCACUGUCAUGACCACUACCACCACCACCAUCAUCAUCAUCAUCAUCAUCACUACAUACUGGUCUACUGAUCUCUGGGUUAAGCACCAGGGAGUCAAAGAUGAACCAGUCUUUUUGUCCAUUAGAAUUCCACAAUCUAGUGGGAUAUUGACAGGAAAAAAGCUUAACAAAGUGUUAUAAGGGAUACCAGGGCUGGGGCUACAUGCUGAGUUCUGUGCAAGCACAGAGAAGGGAGCAAUCAGCUUUGCCUGAGGAAGCUGCAGCUCAUUUUCUCUGCAAAGGGAAAAGUAGGCAGAUGCCUCUCUGCACCUUCACUUAAAGAGAAACUCUGAAGCUCUCACUUCUAGCCUUGGCUUUCCACAGAUUUACUAAACAUGCCUUUAUGUUGUAAGUUCACCAUCUAAAACACAGGAAUACUUUGAAUCCAUGGAGCUGCCCUCUGAAUUGUUUAAAAAAACAUUUGCAACCAGGUGCGGUGGCUCACACCUGUAAUCCCAGCACUUUGGGAGGCCAAGGUGGGCAGAUCACCUAAGGUCAGGAGUUCAAGACCAGCCUGGCAGUCAUGGCAAAAUCCCGUCUCUACUGAAAAUACAAAAAAUCAGCUAGGCACGGUGGUGCAUGUCUGUAGUCCCAGCUACUCGAGAGACUGAGGGAGGAGAAUAGCCUGAACCCGCAAGGUAGAGGUUGCAGUGGGCUGAGAUCAUGCUAUUUCACUCCAGCCUGGGCAACAAAAGUGAAACUCCUUCUCAAAAAAAAAAAAAGCACAUUUUCAAUUUGUCUCGAUAUCUGUUCUCUGAAUUUACAUGGUGUUUCAUGCUUGCAAAUCAGCUGAAGGCAAAUUAUGUUGUGUUUCAAAGGGGAAAUAAAAACUUUUUGGGGGACAUCCACACAAUGUCAUUAAUUUAUAAUGCAUAACUUUAGAAUUUGUGAUAAUUUGGGUGGAUUGAACUAAUGUUUCCCUUUUAUAUGGGGUGCGUUAGCAAAUGGUUUGCUCAACUAAUUCAAAGCCUCCAGGACUCUGAGAAAAAUGUUUACCCACUUAGGAAAAGGGCCAUCUGUUCUAAGCACUGUAAAGGUUCCAUUUACAAAGCUGACUUUCAUCUCCUAUUCUCUGGCUUACAGAGCCCAUUCACAUGUAUCCUCUCAUUUUUGUUUGAUUUAUAUGUAAACCAUAUCAAGACACUUAAAUAGAGGUCAAGGGUGAUGUACACAUUAUUAAUAUUCUUUAAUCUAUUCAUGAAGAUGGGCCUUUUCCCAUAAUAACAGUUUUAAAGAAUUUCUUUGAAAAUAGUGAGUUCAUUUCAGAUACUGUAGGCUAUAUGGGGUUUCAUUAAUUCAGACUAUUCUGCCCUCUACAUUACUAUUAAUUUUUGUGGGGUUUUUUUUUGUAUAUUUGAAUUAUAUAGUAGUUUUCAGCCUGGGGUGAUGGGUAAUUUUGCUGUCAGGGGCCAUUUAUAGAUCUCUGGAGACCUUUUUGGUCAUCACAACUGGGAGAGGGUGCUACUUGCAUCUGGUGGACGGAGGCCAAUGAUGCUGCUGAGCAUCCUGUAAUGCUCAUGACAUGCCCCACGACACAGAAUCAUCCAGCACAAGUGUCAGGAGUGCUGAAAAACCCAGAUGUGAUCGGUAACUUCAAUUACUCGAUUG
Non-coding RNA from Callithrix jacchus (white-tufted-ear marmoset), 17470 nucleotides. NCBI's taxonomy places the organism in Eukaryota, Metazoa, Chordata, Mammalia, Primates, Cebidae. The record is from RefSeq and is a predicted model, not a curated record.